This 2929-nucleotide ribosomal RNA is filed under the name Escherichia coli. Its description in RNAcentral is "23S ribosomal RNA". It matches the Rfam family "Bacterial large subunit ribosomal RNA". The record is from RNAcentral. Lineage: Bacteria; Pseudomonadati; Pseudomonadota; Gammaproteobacteria; Enterobacterales; Enterobacteriaceae.
GGGUUGUGAGGUUAAGCGACUAAGCGUACACGGUGGAUGCCCUGGCAGUCAGAGGCGAUGAAGGACGUGCUAAUCUGCGAUAAGCGUCGGUAAGGUGAUAUGAACCGUUAUAACCGGCGAUUUCCGAAUGGGGAAACCCAGUGUGUUUCGACACACUAUCAUUAACUGAAUCCAUAGGUUAAUGAGGCGAACCGGGGGAACUGAAACAUCUAAGUACCCGAGGAAAAGAAAUCAACCGAGAUUCCCCCAGUAGCGGCGAGCGAACGGGGAGCAGCCCAGAGCCUGAAUCAGUGUGUGUGUUAGUGGAAGCGUCUGGAAAGGCGCGCGAUACAGGGUGACAGCCCCGUACACAAAAAUGCACAUGCUGUGAGCUCGAUGAGUAGGGCGGGACACGUGGUAUCCUGUCUGAAUAUGGGGGGACCAUCCUCCAAGGCUAAAUACUCCUGACUGACCGAUAGUGAACCAGUACCGUGAGGGAAAGGCGAAAAGAACCCCGGCGAGGGGAGUGAAAAAGAACCUGAAACCGUGUACGUACAAGCAGUGGGAGCACGCUUAGGCGUGUGACUGCGUACCUUUUGUAUAAUGGGUCAGCGACUUAUAUUCUGUAGCAAGGUUAACCGAAUAGGGGAGCCGAAGGGAAACCGAGUCUUAACUGGGCGUUAAGUUGCAGGGUAUAGACCCGAAACCCGGUGAUCUAGCCAUGGGCAGGUUGAAGGUUGGGUAACACUAACUGGAGGACCGAACCGACUAAUGUUGAAAAAUUAGCGGAUGACUUGUGGCUGGGGGUGAAAGGCCAAUCAAACCGGGAGAUAGCUGGUUCUCCCCGAAAGCUAUUUAGGUAGCGCCUCGUGAAUUCAUCUCCGGGGGUAGAGCACUGUUUCGGCAAGGGGGUCAUCCCGACUUACCAACCCGAUGCAAACUGCGAAUACCGGAGAAUGUUAUCACGGGAGACACACGGCGGGUGCUAACGUCCGUCGUGAAGAGGGAAACAACCCAGACCGCCAGCUAAGGUCCCAAAGUCAUGGUUAAGUGGGAAACGAUGUGGGAAGGCCCAGACAGCCAGGAUGUUGGCUUAGAAGCAGCCAUCAUUUAAAGAAAGCGUAAUAGCUCACUGGUCGAGUCGGCCUGCGCGGAAGAUGUAACGGGGCUAAACCAUGCACCGAAGCUGCGGCAGCGACGCUUAUGCGUUGUUGGGUAGGGGAGCGUUCUGUAAGCCUGCGAAGGUGUGCUGUGAGGCAUGCUGGAGGUAUCAGAAGUGCGAAUGCUGACAUAAGUAACGAUAAAGCGGGUGAAAAGCCCGCUCGCCGGAAGACCAAGGGUUCCUGUCCAACGUUAAUCGGGGCAGGGUGAGUCGACCCCUAAGGCGAGGCCGAAAGGCGUAGUCGAUGGGAAACAGGUUAAUAUUCCUGUACUUGGUGUUACUGCGAAGGGGGGACGGAGAAGGCUAUGUUGGCCGGGCGACGGUUGUCCCGGUUUAAGCGUGUAGGCUGGUUUUCCAGGCAAAUCCGGAAAAUCAAGGCUGAGGCGUGAUGACGAGGCACUACGGUGCUGAAGCAACAAAUGCCCUGCUUCCAGGAAAAGCCUCUAAGCAUCAGGUAACAUCAAAUCGUACCCCAAACCGACACAGGUGGUCAGGUAGAGAAUACCAAGGCGCUUGAGAGAACUCGGGUGAAGGAACUAGGCAAAAUGGUGCCGUAACUUCGGGAGAAGGCACGCUGAUAUGUAGGUGAGGUCCCUCGCGGAUGGAGCUGAAAUCAGUCGAAGAUACCAGCUGGCUGCAACUGUUUAUUAAAAACACAGCACUGUGCAAACACGAAAGUGGACGUAUACGGUGUGACGCCUGCCCGGUGCCGGAAGGUUAAUUGAUGGGGUUAGCGCAAGCGAAGCUCUUGAUCGAAGCCCCGGUAAACGGCGGCCGUAACUAUAACGGUCCUAAGGUAGCGAAAUUCCUUGUCGGGUAAGUUCCGACCUGCACGAAUGGCGUAAUGAUGGCCAGGCUGUCUCCACCCGAGACUCAGUGAAAUUGAACUCGCUGUGAAGAUGCAGUGUACCCGCGGCAAGACGGAAAGACCCCGUGAACCUUUACUAUAGCUUGACACUGAACAUUGAGCCUUGAUGUGUAGGAUAGGUGGGAGGCUUUGAAGUGUGGACGCCAGUCUGCAUGGAGCCGACCUUGAAAUACCACCCUUUAAUGUUUGAUGUUCUAACGUUGACCCGUAAUCCGGGUUGCGGACAGUGUCUGGUGGGUAGUUUGACUGGGGCGGUCUCCUCCUAAAGAGUAACGGAGGAGCACGAAGGUUGGCUAAUCCUGGUCGGACAUCAGGAGGUUAGUGCAAUGGCAUAAGCCAGCUUGACUGCGAGCGUGACGGCGCGAGCAGGUGCGAAAGCAGGUCAUAGUGAUCCGGUGGUUCUGAAUGGAAGGGCCAUCGCUCAACGGAUAAAAGGUACUCCGGGGAUAACAGGCUGAUACCGCCCAAGAGUUCAUAUCGACGGCGGUGUUUGGCACCUCGAUGUCGGCUCAUCACAUCCUGGGGCUGAAGUAGGUCCCAAGGGUAUGGCUGUUCGCCAUUUAAAGUGGUACGCGAGCUGGGUUUAGAACGUCGUGAGACAGUUCGGUCCCUAUCUGCCGUGGGCGCUGGAGAACUGAGGGGGGCUGCUCCUAGUACGAGAGGACCGGAGUGGACGCAUCACUGGUGUUCGGGUUGUCAUGCCAAUGGCACUGCCCGGUAGCUAAAUGCGGAAGAGAUAAGUGCUGAAAGCAUCUAAGCACGAAACUUGCCCCGAGAUGAGUUCUCCCUGACCCUUUAAGGGUCCUGAAGGAACGUUGAAGACGACGACGUUGAUAGGCCGGGUGUGUAAGCGCAGCGAUGCGUUGAGCUAACCGGUACUAAUGAACCGUGAGGCUUAACCUUACAACGCCGAAGCUGUU